AUGAACGCUGGCGGCGUGCUUCACCCAUGCCAGUCGAACGAAGCACUUAAGAUUGAUUCUUCGGAUGACGUCUUUUGUGACUUAGUGGCGGACGGGUGAGUAACGCGUGGGUAACCUGCCUCACACAGGGGGAUAACAGUUAGAAAUGACUGCUAAUACCGCAUAACCCGAUAGGAUCGCAUGAUCCAGACGGAAAAGAUUUAUCGGUGUGAGAUGGACCCGCGUCUGAUUAGCUAGUUGGUGAGGUAACGGCCCACCAAGGCGACGAUCAGUAGCCGGCCUGAGAGGGUGAACGGCCACAUUGGGACUGAGACACGGCCCAAACUCCUACGGGAGGCAGCAGUGGGGAAUAUUGCACAAUGGGGGAAACCCUGAUGCAGCGACGCCGCGUGAGUGAAGAAGUAUUUCGGUAUGUAAAGCUCUAUCAGCAGGGAAGAAAAUGACGGUACCUGACGAAGAAGCCCCGGCUAACUACGUG
This 478-nucleotide ribosomal RNA is filed under the name uncultured bacterium. RNAcentral describes it as "partial 16S ribosomal RNA". It matches the Rfam family "Bacterial small subunit ribosomal RNA", at positions 29 to 507 of the family's 1533-position model. The record is from RNAcentral.